GAGGUUGACCCUUAGCUCGCUAGGCUCUUGCUGCGUUGAAUUUUUAGGACACAGCUGACUAGACAUGACCUUUAACCUUGCUCCACACUUUCUAGGAAUUCAGUUGCGCUAAGUAGAGUUUUCUAGGGUGCAGAUUAGUCAACACUAGAGAGUGGGCAACUCUAUCACGUUUUUUUUUUUUUUUUGCAUACCGUGUUAUCACUCUCUUGCUGCAGCACUCCAAAAUAGUGAGCACGUUAUGAGAACUUUGCAAAGUGGAAUGCCACAAAGUAAAUAAACCACUAUACAAAGCACUGCAGGUUCUUUAAGUUAGUGUUGGACUGUUAGGGAUACGUUUUGAUUUUGAGAGAGCCACGUGGCCAUUAAUUUUGCUCUCGUGGGAACAUAAUUUUGUUGUACUGUUUGUUGUUGUUCAAUCAAAUUGUACUUGUUAUGUUUAACACACACACACACACUAUAGCGCCAUCCCCGUCCAUGGAAAAACAGAAAAAAGAAUCCAUAAUUUUAUAGCUGGAAUAAACAUUCAGUGUGGCAAGGUUAAUCCAAAAUGCUUCAGAGUUCAGACUUCAGACUCAUGUUGGAUUUGGUGAUGAACAUGUAAUGGCUGCUCCUUCUGGGUAAAAAACUGGAUCCAAAGAAAUAUCACAAAUACAUAUUAUUAAUUAAAAGUCUGGUCUAAUGCUGAAUCACAGAAAAAAACAAAUUGGAAGAAACAAAUUGUGCUGUCAUCAUCUAUAUAAACCUGAUUUUUUACUACGUACUGUAUGUUCUAAGGAAAUGUUAGUGGCACAUAGCUAGCAGUGGCAAUGGACCACGAUCCAAAUGUUUCUUCACUAUUUGUUUGAGCCCUUAAUUAAUUUUAAUUAAAAAAUGAAAAGAAAUAGGGUCCGAUCCUAAUUUGACCCUAUUCUUAAAUUUUAUAGUGUAAAAUUUAGAUCCAUUACCACCCUACACACAGUUAAUGUUCAGUUGAUAAUUUCUGGUUUUAAUGAUGUCUGCUUGUGUAUUUCAGCCUUUGAGGCAGAGAAGGUGUCAACUUUGUUUCCAUUUGAUUGGAUAUUGUCUUUACGAUCAUUGCUAGUGUAUUAUGAUUUUAUGAAAGAUGAUGGUACUAUGUGAGGUCAAAUGAAAGUUAUGAUAUGCCUUCCUUCUGAUGGCCAGAAUAUGUUAAUUGAUCAGUUUGGAUACCAUUGCGAUAAGUAGCUGUCUAGAUACACCAGUACCCACAAAUUCUCUCACACCCAAUAUGCCGACAUGGUGGGGUAAAUCAUCGUCAAAAGAUGUUAAGAAAACCACCAAGGAAAACCUGAUCGAUACAUUUCAUCGCUUGAUAAGUCCAAAUGAGCAAAAGGGAAGCACAAAAUCAAAACGGAAUUGCAGGCGUGGCAAUAAUACAGCUGCUGAGAAAGUUUGCAAAUCAACAACAGUGUCACGUCCAACUUCUCCAUCGAAAGAAGUUUCUCGCUGCCAAAGUUUUUCGGCUGAUAGGCUGCAUGCCCAGCCACUUCCUAUUCCUGGAGUACGCCCUCGAGUAACUCGUGCAGUUGCUGAUGUCAAUGUUUCAAAGCCCAUAUUGGAAAAACGUGGCAAACCUCCACUGCUUUUGCCACUUCCUAAACCCAAUCCACUUCACCGGGGACCUGGAAGCAGUGAUAUUCCUUCAGAAAUAGUGGUUGCUUCUGUCUCUAGCAAUUGUUCUGCUGAUAGUGAGGAUCGUGCAGAUUCUCAGCUUCAGAGCCCUGUUGGGAAUGAUACUAACAAUGUAAAAAAGGUUUCUUCAAAGAACAAGUCAAGGUACUCUCCUGAGGCCAAAAACAUCACUUCUAUAUUCAAUUUCUAUAUUCCAGGCCGUCAUAUUAUUUGUGUGCCUCUCCAUCUAAACAUGUUCUAAUAUUUCCUUUUCUCUUUCUGAAGUAAUGUUUGCAAGGAUCACUCUGGUGCUAUUACUACCAAGACCACGAAAGAAAUAUUGAAGCCAGCUGCUAAUGCAUUCCUCAGUAACCAUACACAGUCCGCGCCACCAAGAGGUAUCUCAGCUGACAAUAAUCAACUAAAUUUACAAAAUCCCCAGCCAGUAGUUUUUGAGAGUGCUCCCAAUAGUUUGAUGUCAAGUCCUUCGAGAAGUCCAAGACCAAUAUGUCCUGAUCAUAUUCUGACUUCAGCAUUUUGGGCAGUGAAGCCUCAUGCUGAUGUAACUUUCCUUGGAUCUGGUCAGUGCUCCAGUCCAGGUUCAGGACAAACAUCUGGACAUAAUUCAGUGGGUGGUGAUAUGCUAUCCCAGCUUUUUUUGCAGCCCACCAGAGGUAGUCCAGAGUGUUCACCAGUUCCUAGCCCAAGAAUGACAAGUCCUGGUCCUAGUUCUCGUGUGCACAGUGGAAGUGUUUCCCCAUUGCAUCCAAGGUCUGGAGGACUGGCACCUGAAUCUCCUACAAGUCGGCAUGAUGGUGGAAAGAAGAAGCAAACCCAUAAAUUGCCCCUUCCACCAUUGAGCAUCGCUCACAGUCCAUUUUUUCCGAAUAACUCGACACCAAGUAGUCCUAUUUCAGUACCCCGUAGCCCUGGCAGAACAGAGAAUCCAUCAAGUCCUGCAUCGCGAUGGAAGAAGGGCAAGCUGAUUGGUCGUGGGACAUCUGGUCAUGUAUAUGUUGGCUUCAACAGGUAUUUGUUUUCCUAUGUAUGAAUUUCAAAUGUGAAGUUUGUAUUUUCUAUAAAUAUAUGUUUUAGUCAUCUUUACAAGCUUUUGGGGUUGUUUUUGGUCAACUCACUUUCCUCUAUUCUAAUUAUCCCACUUUGAAACGACCUUGUUUGACUCAAUGUUUCCCAGAAAUGAUACAACAAUAUUUGACCAAUAUAUACUUGUUUGCUAACUUUCCUUACAAGAGAAUAGACUAGGUAGGUAGUAUAUUCACGUACCUUUAUGGUGUAAGGUGUAUUGUGCUCUGUUUUCCUCUUGAAAGCUGGCAACACAUUUUCUUUUCUGAGAAGAGACAGAUUACACCUACCUCAUCUUGUGUACGGCCGCACUUUACAAGUCUCAAAUGGUUAUUUUCCUUUGCCACUAAGAUUAAGAGAGGGUGUUCAUAUUGUACUUCCUGUUUAUUGUGCAAAGUGCAAACGACUUUGUUGAGGUAGAAACAGCAAAAAGGGGCAUUUUGCAUCUUGUACUUCCUGUUAAUACGGCAUAGAUCCAAAGCAUAAAAUGUAAAAGAACAUAUCAUGCAGUGAAUAAAACUAGUUAGAACCAUAACACUAUAUUUCUUGCAUAAAAAUUGUGAGUGCCAUACCGCUCUGCAUAAUUGUUGGCAUAAUUGCAUUCUAGCAGUGAGAGAUGACAGUUAAAAGACAACUCAUGUUGAUGGUAAAGUUACAUAUAGUCAUAGGACACUGAAAACUACAUGUCCUAUUGUGUUUAAAAGACCUAAUGGUCCAAAUAAAGUCAAGAGAAUUUAGUUUAUUUUUUAAAAUAGCCUGUUCGGCUGCGGCGAUAAGCGCUGCUACACAGUCAGCAUACAGUGUUUGUGUCAUGCCUGAUGCAGCAGCCGCAGCCACAGCAUCGCGUUGUCGAGAAGCCAAACAUUGAUCAUUGUUUUGAACAAUAGGAUAGUGUGUUUCAAUUGAUAUAAUCCACUUUCCAUUUGAGCAAUUUUCAAAUCAUGCUUAAGUUUCCGCAAACCUUUGCUUUGUAUACCCUAUCUUGAUACCAUCAUCUGUAUUACUAUUAGUGAUAGUGGUGAAAUGUGCGCAAUGAAAGAGGUUACCCUAUUCUUGGAUGAUCCUAAAUCAAAGGAGAGUGCAAAGCAAUUGGGGCAGGUAUGUUAUUUCAGAUGUGUUGUGCACCACCUGCAAAAAUUUAGUUUAUAAGCUGUGUUUAUUGUUUUACGUUAUCUUUUAUCUUUGCCCUUUCCGUUUAACAGGAAAUAUCACUCUUGAGUCGCUUACGACAUCCAAAUAUUGUACAAUACUAUGGAUCAGAAAUGGUAUAAAGUGUUUCCUUCAAUAUGUACACUUGGUUUUUCUUGCUUCCUUAAUGCUUCUGCUGUUCCUGCAAUUUCAGAAGAUUGUAUUUGUUAUUUAAUCUUACUUUUUUUUACCCUUUUCCCUUCAGCAAGGGUGAUAAGAGAGUUCACAACAGCUUGUCACAUAUCAUUAAUAGGGUUAUGGAUGCAUUAUUUUCAUUUUUAGGCAUGAACUUAUACAUUAUGUUUGCCCAAAAUUAGGUUGAAGAUAAACUUUACAUAUAUUUGGAAUAUGUUUCUGGUGGAUCCAUACAUAAACUUCUACAAGAAUAUGGACAGCUUGGUGAACCAGCAAUACGCAGCUACACCCUUCAGAUACUUUCAGGCUUAGCUUAUUUGCAUGCCAAGAAUACGGUCCACAGGUAGAAUUUCAUUUUUUUUGGGUUCAAUCUUUUGGGUUGCACAUUCAGCAAAUGACAUCUAUUUUUGCUUUUGCUUUUGUGUGUGCUAUCAAUAAUUUGUAGGGACAUCAAAGGUGCCAACAUACUAGUAAAUCCAAGUGGCCGUGUUAAGCUUGCAGACUUUGGAAUGGCAAAACAUGUAAGUCUUGAGAGUCUCGAAGCCAUUCUACUUGGUUAAAAGUAGUUAAAAUGGGCCGAUGUUUUCUACAUAUUGAAAUAUGGAUCUGCUAUCCUUACAUUUAUUUUCCCUUUUCUACUUUUUUAUCUGUGCCCAUAAAUCAUGACCACUUGAAAUGGACCACCUCUUCAAAAAUAUACAGCCAUUUGAAAGUUGUAUUUCCAACAACAUUUAUACACUAGUCUGAAGUUUUGGUGUGGUGAGCAUACUGGUCUACCGGUGUAAAUAACUUGACCUGCGGGAGGUAAGACAACCCCCGGACAUUUUAUUAAGAAGACCUUCUCACGCAGGUCGAGAAAACCCCCGAACCCUUGCCCCACCCAGACACAACGACACUGUAAAAAAACUCAAUCUGCAUGGGGUAAGACAACCCUGAGCAUUAUAUUAAGAAGAAGACCUUCUCAUGUAGGUCAAGAAAACCCCCGAACCCCUGGCCCACGCAUACACAACGGCACUGUAGACUAGAAACGACUGCGACCGGUCCUUAGACCUAUGCUUUGGCAUGGGACAAACGAGGAGAUAUUUUUAACCACAACCUGAAAUUCGCUCACACGGGGAGUUGAACCCAGGACAUGAGGAGUGCUACUCAGACCACCUAACCAACUCGGCUAGAGGCCCUUUCGCAGGCCUAGCGGUCUAGUUACUGAUGUUAAGGUUAUCCUAAUCCUUCGUGGGCUAUUCAUUAAUUAACUCAGGUCAUGGAUAAGUGUCACUUCAGACAUUUAUAUGCUCUCCAAAGCCUAACUUUGACAGCCAGUUUCUGGUGUAAUAUUAGUUGAAUAUCCAUGCUCUGCCUCUCUGCCACAAGAGAUAUCAUUGUACGGUUGUACCACACCACCGUAAGUCCGUAAUAUGCAGUCAAUGAGCUUAGCUUAUGACAUAGCUUCAUUCUUGUCUCAUUGGGUCUGUUUGGUUCAACUUUUUUCUGACCAGUUUUUCUGAGAAUCUGAUUGCGGGGAGAAUUUGGUUGUGGGAGAAUAUGAGUAUCGUGGGGAUUACGUGCGGAGAAAGAUGAAAGUGUCCAUAGAGUUCAGAUCUAGAAAAUGAUGAAUUCCUACUAUUGCAACGACUCGGCCGAUUCUGUGUCUAUGUUGAUUUUGAAUAGUUUUUACCAAAUCAAUUCUUAUAGAAGCGGGCUGAAAAGCUAGGGUUUGGUAGUACAUAGCAGCUUUUGGUGGCCAGAAGCUGAAAAAAACUGAAACAAACAGGGCCAUUGUGCCUCCAGCUGUGACCGCCUACGCCAUACCCCUCAGUGCCCCUAUUAGUACAUCCAAGCUCUGCCCCUCUGCUGCAGUAUAAGUUGUGCCUCUGUUCUAGUGCAGCAUCAUGAUAUGUCACACACAAGGAUAGUGGGUGGGCUAUGAUACAACCUUGUAUGGCGGUGAAUAAUUGGUUGAGUACCCAAGGAAUGCAAUGUGACAGAGGGAGGAGUGGUUUGGGAUAAGCUGAAAAUUUACCGAAUAAUACUCCCUUUGAUUUAAGUACAUGUUGUUUAGGAAAUUGACACUGUCUACAAGGUGAAACUUUUACAAGUAGUUUCUGUGAAAAAUAUGUACAUUUCAAAGAAAAGUAACUAUUUUGAAAAUGAUUUUUAUGUUGAAUCUAGUAACAUGUAUCUAUGGUUUUUUAUAAUGAUGUUUAAAAAGUUUGUUCACCAGGAAUACUAAAUUGACAUAUAUCUUGGACCAGAGAUAGUAGUUUGUUUGUUUGAUUUUCUCAUUUUUCAUUGUUUGUUUAUUUAUGUGGAACAUGGGGAAGGGUAAUACAAUUUUACUUGUGAUUUUCUUUCUGAAACCAUAAUUCACUUAAAUACUCCUCAGUUUGUUAUUUUUUUCUCCAUUUUGUGUUUGUUUCUACCAGAUCAAUGGGCAGCACUGUCCUUUUUCAUUUAAGGGUAGUCCAUACUGGAUGGCUCCAGAGGUACUGAAAUGAAGCUCUUCCUUUAGUUUGUAUUUUUUUUUUUAAUUCAAUGUGCAUCACAUUAUAAUUUCUGUUAACAAAAUACUAACCAUGCAGCACAAAUGCAGGUUAUAAAAAAUUCUAAUGGAUGCAACCUUGUGGUUGACAUAUGGAGUUUAGGUUGCACUGUCCUGGAAAUGGCUACCUCAAAGCCACCAUGGAGCCAGUAUGAAGGGGUCAGUAUUAGACAUCACAAUAUAACUGAUAUUUCUUCUAGAGUGUCAGAUGUCUGGUGCUCAAGCUGAGUUAACCAUCUGCAUUUAUUGUUGACUAUUGCUGCCUACAUCAGCAAUCAGCAUUUCAUUUUACUAAUCCAGUUUCUAGCUACGUCAAAAGUUCAGAACUUAAUUUAUUAUUCCAUAUUUAUUGAGAUGUAGCCGAUUUCUUUUUGCCUUCUGGGUGCAUUUACAGUCUUUACCUUAGAGUUUCAUGAAUACCUUUAUCUUACGGCUAGUUUGGGAACCUAAUUUUCCCAAUGGAUUUCCAUUUUUCCAAGGGAAAUUAGUUCAUUUUCCCAUGGGAAAAUAGAAAUCCCAUGGGAAAACGGAGUUCCCAAACUAGUUCUUAUAUUUUUAAAAAUAACCAUAAUAGUGUGAAAUUGACUUUCCCACUUUCUACUGUUUUUUGGAGGUCAAAAGACUUAGCCCUUGGUUUAGCAUGAACUAGUUAAGUAGUUAGAACUUCAAUUGCUUUUUCAUUUAUUGUAGUUCAAGUAAUUGGUUGACAUCAUGUAUGCUAUUGAUGCUGGAAGGGCAAGGAAGCGGCCCAGGAUCAGGAUGCAGCACAUACAAGUGUUUUGAGUUCUCAAGUACAAGGAGUCAGAGUCCUAGGUUCUUUCGUUUAGGAGAUACAUUAGUCGGUUUCAGUUAGAUAUAUUAGCAAAUUGGAUUAGAAUUAGUUAAAGUUGUAUGAGAUGAAGGAUUUGUAACUUGUCCUUAUAUAUAUAGGUCACUUGUAUCUGGAAAACAUCAAGAAUGGAUUAAAUCUAGCUCCCUGUUUCCUCCUGUUAUCCUACCGCUGGUGCCUAAAUCCCUGCUUCGUGGUCCAGGUUCCCAAAUAUUACCUUGUACGUCUACACCCUUUGCAACCUGCCAGCAACCAACCAGCCACCAGUAUUCCAAUUUACUGAAAAGAUGCAUUUUCUCAAAAAGAAAGAAAACGACGAACAACUUAUUUACUGUGAAUUAGUUUAAUAUGCUAAAUAAUCCCACUGUUUCCCAUAUUUCAUUCUUUUCAAUGAACACAUUUCAAGAUAAUGGGCUAUUUCCUCAAGAUACUGAAUUGUACCAUUUACUUAGAGCACAGAGCCACAGAUAAGAUGUGCCAUUACAUUGACACCCAGAGAGCAGAAUCCCACACUGGGUGAAUGAGUGAAAAGUUACUUUUUCCUGAAUUUUACCAAGACUUUCGUGCUAUCUGAAAGUGGUAAUCCAAGCCCAUGUACCUUUAUGAAGUUAUUAAAUAUUGGACUUCUUUUAAUUGUUAAUUUAAUCAUAAAUGCAAUUCAGGUAUGAAUGUUUCCCUUUUAUUUGCCAACAGAUUGCUGCAGUGUUUAAGAUUGGGAAUAGCAAGGAACUUCCACCAAUACCGGAUUAUCUUUCGGAGCACUGCAGGGACUUCAUUAGGAAGUGUCUGCAACGUGACCCGUCUCAACGUCCAACGGCAGUUGAGCUUUUGCAACACCCGUUCAUACAAAAUGGAAUUUCACUUGAGAAAUCUGUUACUCCUAAUCAUUUGGAGCAUUUGGCUGCCAUAUCAUGCAGAACAAAACCCAAGGUACCAGCUGAAUGCUACUAUUCUCAUUUGAUUCUUCAACUCAAAAUAGCAUAUCUUCUCAAAUUUAAAGUGAUGUAUUUAUCUUCAGUGAAUUUCAUUUGUUUCUUUAAUUACGUGCAUCAGAAAUUGAUAUGUUAGUUUAUCCAUUGUUGUCAAAUUGUACACCUAUAUGAAAUUUCGUUUUUUUUUAUUUUUGGGGUUUGGGCAUAAAAAAAUAAAUUCUAAUCAAGAUGUAGCGUAUCCUUGAUACCUGGCAAGUGGACAGCGGAAUUGAAUUGGAGAGUGACCAAAGCCGAAGGAGAAAAACUGUCGUCCAGCUUACUUUACUCAGAGGAGCAACCAUCCGAAAUUAAAUUCGAGAGUGAAUAGAUUAAGUGGGGUAGGACAUGAUAUGAGACGAACGGAUGCCAAUAUUUAUAGCACAUCAAAAAGCAGGUUGGAGCUUGGUUGGUAAUGCUCUGAUUGAAUGUUUAUUUCUUUUGGAGAAGGAUGCUACCACAGGAUAGAACGGGGAUACAGGGCAGAUGAUUAUUCUUUUUUCGGUGACAGAGGGAUCUGGAAAUUUUACAAGGGCAUAUAGAAAAAUUUCCUUGUUAAUUUAGCUCAAUUGAACUGAUAUAUAUACCUGUCUACAAUUUCUGAGUGUUAAUUUGUUGAAACAGACCAUGUACAGUUGGAUUUUCUUCCAUUUAACACUCUUAUGAUCUCCUUUUGGGACUUGAUUUGCCAGGUGGCCGUGCAGACAAGAAAUGCCUCCUUAGGUUUUGAGGGUCAGACGAUUUACCAAAGAAGGGGUGUAAAACUAUCUUCAAAACACAGGUACAACACUACAAAUCUACAACAUAGCUUCCUGCUACAAUCUUUUCAGAGAAAGUUAUGGAACCUAAAACUAGUGUUUACAAGUUAUCCGAUUAAUCACGAUUAGUCACAAUUAAUCAAUUUAGUCGGUCUCUGGAGGUCGAUCAGGGUCACUGAGGUGACUAGCUCGACUAGAAACCUAGUGGUCUGACUAGGAGGAGGACAUUCGAGCUAGAUCUCUGACUGCUUUGUCCUAUUCAUGAGCCUGCUAUUGGGCUUAAGAGGUGGGCUAUUGGGCUGCCAAUUUGGCAUGUUAAGGACAAACGUGCCCAAACUCCAAAAACGUGGAGAACGGAGGCAACAUUGAUUUCCUUCUCCCAUGCCGAGUUCCUCCCACACCUCCCCACACGCCGCUUUGUAGCCUUCUACUCGUCGGUGUGCCUUGUCGGAGAUGAAGAAGAUGAUCCUUGGAUCACUCAAACGCUCACAGAACUCAACAUGAACACUAGAACACACUCAGUUUUUGGCGCUGUCAAACUACACCACUACUUAGGUGUAUUUUGUUGACAUGUUUAUAUACACAAUUACAAAGUCUCACAUGCACAAAUCACGACACCAAUCAACAAUCAAUUAGCUAAGAAAGAAAACUAUCUAAUUAGCUAUCAGUUAGCUAAGAAAGGAAACUGAUUUGCAAAUCAGCUAUCAAUUAGCUAAGAAAGGAAACUAACCAGUCAACUAAGAAAGAAACUAAAAACCGAGCUGGAGUAUGCAACAAUCUCCCCUAAGCCUAUCUCGAUUUAUUUGACAUUGAUGAUGCCAAUCUUGCCACAAAUUUCCGCGAACAGUGCACGUCCACGUGGCUUCAUCAGAAUGUUCGUAGGCUGUUGAUCUGUGCUUACAUGAUCCACGUAGAUCUUCCCAUUCUCCACACAUUUAUGUACGAAACAUGGUUCUUGCUGAGUGCAAUUGUGGAUUGAUUGUCCAUCUUUAGCAGCGACGGGUAGACUUUGUCGUCGAUGAUGCCCUUAGUUGUCGUGUCCGCUAUAUGCUUUGCUUAACAAGUUGAGAGGGUCACCACCUUCUGUUUGUCUGCUAUAAAGAAGAUAAUGUUGUUAGUGCUUAUCUCAUCGAUGUCUCUCCCUAAGUUGUCCAUGUACCCGGUUAGUGUGUAGCAUGUCAGCCUUCUAUCGGUGUUACACCGCUUAGGGUAGACAAGGCCCUAGUCGACUGUGUCGAUGGUGUAGCGCAUGAUGUGUGUGAUGGAGGCUAGAUGCUCUUGUCGCGGUCUCUCCAUGAAGUGACUCACAAAACCCACCGCAAACACUCCUGGUAUGGAACAUAUAGGCUAGAUUCCCCACCAAACUUUUGUACAUUGUCACAUCGACCUCCGGUGUUAAGCUCUUCGUUGAGAGAUCCAAUCGGACCUCCAUUGGCAUGUGACAUGGGAUACAGGUCCCCAUGGUGGCCUUGUCUAACAACUUGUGGGUGUACACUGCUUGCCCCAAUGUGACAGAGUCGCACCCUUGCUUGACCUCUAGCUCGAGAUAGAAGGACAAGAGACCAAGGUUGCCCAUCCAAAAUGGACGACACAUCCGCUCCUUGAAUGCAUCGACUUUUGUCGGACUUGCUCCAAUGAUGAUUGACCCUGACCACCACACGCGAUGUUGCGACACCCUUGGUGUACAUCCCAUGCUCGCUGACACGUGGUGAAUCCAAGUUUACGCAAAUUCUUGUCCAACUUUGUGUUCCAAGCCCGCGGCACCUGGUGAAGCCUGUACAUCGCCUUCUUCAGUCGUAGGACCUUCGCUUCGUGCCCAACAACGACAAAGCUCGACAGCUGUUGGACGUACACCUCCUCCUUGAGCUUGCCAACCAGAAACGUCGACUUGACAUCCAUUUGAAGGACAAGCCAUCCCCUCUGAGCCACAAUAGCAAGCAAACACCUGCACGGAUUCCAUUUGCGCGAUUGGAACAAACUCCUCAUUGUAGUCUACCUUGGCAAGGGUAGGAUCUUCUCUCUGAUUUGACCAGGUGAAUCUCCUCCCACAUAGCAGUAUUUCCUUUAACUCCAGAGAAUUGAUCCAGCUUCUGAAAUCUCCCAUCAAAGCUCGAUUGAUAUUGGAAUUAUUCUUGUCUUUUGCUCUAUAAAUCAUGUUAAAAUCCCCAGCAAUGAUCCAUGGCCCUUCACAUUCAUUCCUGACCACACCGAGCUCCUGAAGAAAGGCAAGUUUGAGGUUAUCUUGAUGAGGCCCAUAAACACCUGUGAACCACCAGAGUUGACCUGACAGUAACUGAAACUGAACUGACACCGAAAACUCCUUGAUGACAGAAACUCCAGUGGAAAGGUUUCUGUCGCGCCACGCUACAAGAAUACCCACUCUGGUUCCAAUGGCGGGGCUAAAAAUAAAAUUACUAUAUGUCGACCCAAGAAUUGUAAUAAUAUCAAAAUCAGAGAUGGAUGACAGCUUGGUCUCUUGCGGGCACACAAUAGAAGGCAUUGUGUCAAGAACCAAAGAUUUAAUAGAGUCUCUCUUAGCACGAUCGUUGAGACCCCUCACAUUCCAUAUUAAAAUACCAUUUGAAUCCAUGAAAAAACAAAUUCAGCCAGCUCCACCAAACCGCACAGCUCAGGACUGCCCAGGUGGGGGCACCUCCCAACCGAACAGGGCUGCCAACGCAGUAAUAUGCUCUCUAGAAAGAGGUGAAUCAAACAGUUUAGCAUAUCUUCUUGCAUCCGUGAAGGAAAUAUUCUCUCUCUCUCGUCACAGAAACCCAGAUGCUUGCACACCUUUGCAGCAGAGGGAGAGCCUAACUCAGGUGGUAUCUUGGCCACCCUCCUGCUUCGCCUUAGGUUGAAAUUGCUAGGAAUCAGCUUUCUCUUUCGUUUGACUGGUUGGAUAGGGGCCGGUAGGAUUCCAUUGAUCUGUUUUGUAAUUUCAUCUUUAAAUUUCUGCAAAGGAGUAGAAGUUCCAAUCUCCUCAGAUUGUGCUAGCUGAACCAGGAUUUUUUUACGGACAUAAACCUUGAAGCAGGGAUGUUUGGCCCUGAUCUUGUAGUCCCAUGAAGAAACCAGAAUUCUUGACACAGAUUGCUCCUCCAAAUUAAAUGUUGAAACCAAAGGAACUAGGGCAUUCUCGGAAAAAGGCUCCAAUGUCAUAUCAGCAGUCUUCCCACCGGUGGAAACUACAGAACCCCCAACUGAAGCAGGAAGGGGUCCGAUAUUGGCAAUAAUUGGCGCCCCUAACGCAGGAGACGUGGGAUUGCCAGGGAAGGAGGGAACAAGCGCCUGCAACUCAUCAACCGAGGAAUUCGAGAGAGGAGCGGCAUCAACUGUUCCACCUCCCCCACCAGGAGUGAUACGUGGUCCCAACCGUGCAUGAACAGAGGUCCGGACCGAAGAGAACUGAUGAUCCGGAAUAUGCUGCCUCUACCGCUGAUGCUUGCUAUCUCGAUCUUCAUCAUCAUCUGGGGAGGAAAACAGAGGCUGCUCCUCAACCGGCAAAACAACCGGAGUAGUCACUUUCACCGAAAUGGAGUAAAUCAAUGUGCGAGGGAAGCAGGAUCCAUCUUCUCCAAUAGACGUCGGCUCUUCAACGUGGAGAUCGCAGCGAGAAGGCAAGCAAUCCAUAGAGAAACCCCAAGCCUUCAGUUUCAGAACUGACAAAUCCGUCCCAUCAACAGUAUCCGGAUGUAAUCCCUGAACAAUGCAGUGUCCACCGAGCAGAUGCUCUGCCGUAUCAAUCCCCCAGAGGUGUGCCGGAAUCCCGCCAAGUUCAACAUCCAUAAGCACAGGGAGGGCACCUCCACCAGAGGCCAACGCCUGACGUGACCACCUCCUAAGAUGCAGCCGGAGGGGGGGGUAUAGAAAUGGAAUUUCCACCAGCCAAGGCGCGAACAGCGUGAUCCACGGAGGGGAAGAAAACCAGGUACGAGUUGGACGCAGCACGUCGGAUUUGGAGCGCAUCAGCCUCAAGACCAUACUUCGAGGCGAGCGCCUCCAAAAUCACAGCGGCGCAGUCAGAACCCUCCUGGCCAAGAACAUUGACGAACAAAGCACGAUGAAAAUCCUCCUCCACCCGGUCGAUCAACCUUGAACGUUUAAGAAUAUACGAACGAGGGGGGUGCACCACCGAAGGCAAGGAAGAUGAAGCCAACGAUGAGCCCCGACCAGGUGCGCCCAAGUCCUCCCGGUCCAUUCUUCGGCGCCUCUGUCCACGGCGAGUGUGCUUCAUCUUCUUCAUACCAUCACCAUCACCACCGACCCGCGAAACACCUUCCAUAUCGUAGAGAGGAACUUUCUCCGGGACGACCUUCCUGGGAACUGGACGCCACACCAACACCUUCGCUGGGUGAUGCAGAGUCCUCUUCCGACGUGGGCACACGCGCACCCGAUGCCCAGGCAGGCGGCAAUGGAAGCACCACACCAAACUGCCACAAUCAGUCGCACGGUGGGACGGCGAGAAACAGUUGAAGCAUUUCCCACGUAAAUCGGCAGGAACGGGUCUGGGGGGCGCAGGGGAAGAGGGGGGCAGGGACUUCGACGGCGACGUCCCACAACCUUCACCCAUCCACCGUCACCAUCAUCAGCGCCGCAGGCAGUGGACCCUCCAUCCACCAGCGCCUCCUUAUACGAGCGACGUAAAUCACUCCGGGAAGCAGCCGAAGGAAGAUCCUGUUCACACCAUCACUGUGCCUUUGAACGGCCACCAGGAAGAUUCGCCACAGACUGGGCGGAGAGAGGAGAGGAGGCCGACGCCGGGGUAGCAGGUUGGGUGGCCGCCGGCCUUGGGAGGAUGACCGGCGUGAGGCUGUGGGUUGGAGGGGCUGAGGCGUCGGCCGGAGGUGGAAGGUCAGGGGACGGGAGCGGAAGGGACAGGAGCGGAAGGGGCGGGAGCGAAAAGGACAUCGCGCUCGUACUGCUAAUUGUGAUAAGGAUAUUUUUGUUUUUGUUAUGAACAUUAGAUAAUGAACUGAACUUACGAACUUUAUAUAGAGCUGAUUAUACUCUUUUUCUUUCUAACAAAAUGAUUUGUAAAUGAGAUAGUCAUUGCAUAGCUCUGGUAACUUAAUACAAAUAUUAAGCUUGCUUUUGGUCAAAUUUAUUUGUCUUAUCUUUUAUUUGUUUUAGUAAAUUUGUUUUGAAUUUCGGGCUCUGAUGUGAAUUUCGGGCCCUGAUGUGAAAUUCGGGCCAAAAACUGAAUUUCGGGCCAAAAAUUGAAUUUCGGGCCCUAAUGUGAAUUUCAGGCUUUUAUAAUUUCGGGCCGCCCGAAAUGAGCCCGGCACGUUUAAGCAAUUACGGGCCGGGCCGUGGGUCGGGCCGAAAUUCAAACAAUACGGGCCUUUUCAGGCUUGGGCCGGGCCGGGCCAGGCGGCCCGAAUGUACACCUAUACUUCUGGCCAUGCCAAGCACCGUCUGGGUGCGUCUCUCCACCAUGCCACUAUGAUGGGGCGUGUGUGGCAUUGUGAGAUGAUGCUAGAUGUCGUGCUUGGGACAUGAGCAUCAUGAACAAGUUACCGCGGUUGGUGCGGAGCGUGCCCAUGUUUUGCCCCACCUCUGACUCAACGUGUGCCUAGAGUUUGAUGAUGGCCACCACAACCUAGUCCUUUGACACCAACAACACAAGCCACAUGAAGUGACUCCUCAUCGACGAUGAGGAACAACUUCCUUCUAGGCGUCUUUGAGGUCGAGCAAAUGAGGUGCAUGGUACUCGUCGGCUGUAGGCUAUGUUUUCUGGUCGAGCGACCAACUGGUCGAACUGGGGGAACGACCAGGCGACUAAUCGACCUCUGGUCGACCUAGUCGUAUAUUAGUCGUCAUGUUCAUCUAGGACAUAUGUAUUUACUAUAUAGUAUAUAAUUAUAUAACUAUAUAUAAAGGAUAGGGUAAACAUGACAUGAAUUCUGCAAUACUGAUUUAAGAAAUUGAGAGAAGAUAUUUGUUCAUCCAAAUAUCCAAUUGAAAACAACAAAGAAACACUUACUAGUUACUACCAGAUACCACAUAACACACAUUAUCAUGACGGCGACAACCAAACUCUAUAUGUAUCAAAGGAAUAAAGAUUAGAGGAUGGCAACAUGAACAAGGAUGGCAACAUGAACAGAAUCUCUAUUGUCUACAUGAACUGAGUCAGAAACAUAGAAGGACAGAACACAAUACAGAAGAUAGAAGUGAAUACGACCUCCAGAUCAUGAACUCAUGUCGUGUGCCGGUAAUCUGGGGCCGCGCACGCCAAAGAAGACGAACUGGGGCCGAGGUUUUUGAAUACGUCGACUGUCACUGAAGCUGCGCCGCCGUUGAUCAACUUACCAGGAGUCAGGAGCCUUGCGCGGCGAGGCGACGCCGGUGAUAAAAAAACAGGAGCCAGGAGGACAGAGAACGACGACAAGAGAAGAUAGAGAAGCAGAACUGCAGAAGGAAGGAGAUGAAGACGCCAGGAAUCAAGGAGAUUGGAAACAAGCCGUCGUGUGCAAGAGUAUAUCACGACGACGCCUUCUGACGUUUUGCCUCAUGUAGACGAGCCGCCCGACAAAAAAGGCCCACAAUUUUUUUAGUGGAUAUAAACCCUAGUCGCUAAGCACUACCUAAUCGAGCGAUUUAUCGGACCUAAUCGUCGGAUCACCUGAUCGGGUCGGUUCCCUAAUCGCCUACCCCUAAACCGACCAGCCCGACUAAUCGUGAUUAGUCGGACGACUUGAAAUCAGAGGCUACAGGAAAGGACGUUGUCAUUGCUUCCUAGCCAAGGAACUCGUGGACCUGGUCGAUGUGGUCGAUCGAUGGCAGUCUGUGCACCAUGCCACCCUCCAGCAGUUCCCUAAGCCCCUAGAACCCGAGAUGUCCAAACCUGCCAUGCCAUUGCUAGGCCACCUUCAAGCUUCGGGCAACAAGGGCACACAAGUUGAGCGAUGUCAAUGUCGAGGACGUAGAGGCGACUUGCUGAAUGCUGCACCUUGACCAACAAUCAUCAGCACUGGUCCUAGAUCCUGAGAAUGUUGUUCUCGAUUAGGACCUUGUGGUCGUUAUUGUCGAGCUGACCUAAACUGAUGAUGUUUGUUGUGAGUCGGGGGAUGAAGUAAAUGCUAGCUAGCAUGUGGUGCUCGCUGCCCUUGCACCUGAAGAGGAUAGUGUCCUGGCCCUCGAUGGUGACCAUGGAGCUAUCAUCGAACUAAACGGUCCUACGGGCACUGGUGUCAAACUCGAAGAAGGCCACACGCCCCCUAUCAUGUGGUUCGUUGCGCCAUUGCCGAAUAUCCGGUGCAUGCUCCUGCCAUCGCCUUCUUCCCGAGCUGGACGAAUAGUCGGUUCUCGUCGAGGUGGAUCUCCGGUGUUGGGGUGGGGGUGCUUUUGCGAGAGGUAGCCUAUUGUUGGUGGCGGACGUUAGAGCCACAAGCGCCACAAGCUCCAGCUCCUCAGCAAAACACCUACCAGGUGCUGCUUCUGCCCUUGAUCUGAACGUUGAGUCCAUCUCCAACCCCUGGUGACACGAUAUCCAUUGACGGUGAUGGAUUUGGAGAAGACGAUUGCAUCAGUGCCCUCUCUUGCUUGCCUCUUCUUCAGUUUGGGCCAUGAUGGAGGCAAGGCCUAGCAUCAGCGCCCCUUCAGUGGGCUCCUACCUAGUAUGGGCCUGGACUUGCAUCAAUCUGCUUCCCCUUUCCGUUGUUGUAGGUGUUCCAUGGCUGCCUCGAGCUGCCACCAUCUCUAUUGCGCCUGCCACAACUCCAACGACUCAUGUAUGAUGACGUCCAAUUGCCGCCCGAGCUUCCAUUGCUAGAGAGUUGGAACCACGAAACAACAUGUGGCACCAACUCAUCUUAGGUCUGUUUAGGCCAGGUAAGGCUCCUCCACCGCUGCUGCCAUCAAGAUCAUACCGUUCUUCCACCGCCUUGAGCCUCCCAAUCAACUCCACAGUUGUAUCCAGAGCAAGAAGGGUUUCGAUUGCCAUCACAAUUUGCAUGUACCUAGGUGGAGUAGCAUGUAGGAAUUUGUUCAUGAUCUCCGCCCCCUAGGUACCUAGCAUCGAGGACCUCCAGUUAGUUGAGGUUGGUGAUGCGCAUGCCAAAGAGUUCUUGAACCUGAGCGAGUCGAACUCGCACUGUAGCGUGUUCGCCUUCAAUUGGCGCACUCGAUCCACGCAUAGGUGUGUUUUCUUGAGAGCGCCCCAUGUGAUCUUGGCAGUCACCUUUCUCGUGAUCUCCCUUCAUCUCUGGAUGUACCUCGAGGGCGAUGACCUCCAGAGCAUUGUGAUGAUUGAUGUUGUGGGUGGUGCCAACGUUCACCGUCAUCCACAGUCCUCUUGCCUGUGGCCUGAACUUCAUGAGCGCUGGUCAUGAGCAGUAGUUGGUCUUGGUCAGCAAUGGGUGCUGCCCGCUGCUGCCAUUCUCCCUCACGACCCGGUGGAUCACUAGGCCAUGGUCACCAUUGCUAGAGCCGCUCCCCAUCUUCUGACGGCGAUGCGGUGGCGAGGCAGUUCGUUCGCACUACAUGACUGCAAGCACGACCCUGACAGCGAUAGCGACUUUGAUACCAGUUGUAGCCUUCUACUUGCCGGCGUGUCUUGCCGGAGACGAAGAAGAGGACCCUUGGAUCCACCCAAAUGCUCACAAAACUCAACACGAACACUAGGACACUGAGUUUUUGGCGCUGCUAAAGUACACUGCUGCUUAGGUGCAUUUUGUUGAUCUGUUUAUAUACACAAUUACAAAGGCUCACAGCCACAAAUCACGGCACCCAUCAGCAACCAAUUAGGUAAGAAAAGAAACCAUCCAAUUGGCUAUCAAUUAGCUAAUAAAGGGAACUUACCAAUCAGCUAAGGACUAAAAACCGAGCUGGAUUAUGAAACAAUUCUUCUCCUGCGCAGUAUUCUUUGUUCAACAACAUUAUUGUGGUCAGUUGGGACUUGUGAGUGUGCCCUUUCCCUCUAUCUUUUUCCUUCCCCCUCCCCCUCCCCCUCCCCCCUAAUAAUCCCUCACUGCUAGUCUGAUUGCUUGCUGUGCUGCUGCCCCUCUGCAAGUCUGUUUGCUCGCUGCACUGCCCUUCUGCUACUCUGCCUGCUUCCUGGCACUCCUUCCUAAGGUGCUGUACUGCUGUUGUGUAUAUGUGCAGAUGUGGAACGUGCAGAAACCAACUAGCCACUAAUGUUGUAUUGAUGUUUGCUUUAUUGUGUAUAGUAUAUAUAGAUAUAGGUACCAUAAAUUAUGUAUGUCCUGAAAUAUAUAGGACCACUAUAUGGAUGACUAGGGCCAACUAGGCUCAACUAAUUGGUCUGAUCGACAACUAAUAAUGAUUAUGUCACCUAGUUGGUCCCACAUCAACUAGGUUGGACUACAUGAUUUUUAAACAUUGCCUAAAACAAACAAACUUGGAGUGUUCCAUAACUUACCAAACUGCAGCAGUGCAGCUACUCUAGUCAUGUAUGCCAAUAUUUAUGCUUAUUUCCUGCUACAAUUUUUCUGAGAGGAAGUUAUGGAACCUAAAACGAAAUUAGUUGUAGAAGUGUUCCAUAACUAACCAAAGUACAGCUACUCUUUUCAUGUAUGACAGUAUUUAUGCAUGAAUGCAGUGAAAAAGAAAAAAAAUUAUCUAUACAUGCAAGUUUCUGUCCUGUAAUUAUUAUCUUCUUGCAGUGAUAUUCACAUACGAAGCAAUACAUCCUGUCCAGUUUCUCCAUGUCGGAGCCCCCUGCUAAAGGCGAGGUCCCCCCAACACACAAGUGGCAAAAUGUCACCCUCUCCUAUUUCGAGCCCCAGAACUACAUCAGGCACUUCCACACCCCUAUCUGGUGGUAAUGGUGCAAUUCCUUUUAACCACCUAAGGUAUGCAACUUACAGCAGCGAGGGAUUUGGGACCACAUCAAGAGGCCUAGAUGAUCACUUCUCCAACUGUCAUAAAGAUCUGAACCUUGGGCAUUUUGCUGAGGCGCAUCAAGUCUCACAGGGACCUAGGGAAAGGGUAGUAUCUGAAGCUGAUAUUCUGAGCCCUCAAUUUAGAAAGAAACUUGGAAAUGUAUUUGACUUGCGGGAAAGGUUGUCCCCUUCUGAACAUUUUACUCGUCGUGCCUUGGUGGAUCAUGUGGAGCUAAAUCCUUCAAACCCUGGACUAAAGCGUGGUAAAUAACUAGAGUAUAAAAGGCAGGGUUGCAUUUUUUUUUGAAGUUUGUUGAAGUAACUGGUGGUUUUUGGCUACUAUGACCAUUCAAUGGCUGCAAGUGUAUCAUAGUAUCAGAAAGAUUGAUAAUUUCUUUAGAAGCUAAUGGUUGCCAAUGGAUGGGAUCUCUGUUGUCAUCAACGCAAUUCAAGUCAACAAAGGUAUGCCCCUUAUCCUAAUUUGCGCCUGUUUUACAAUCUGCAUCAAUUUACGCACCUGCAUAGGGCCAAACUAUUCUAAAUCACUUGCAGAUUCAGUGUCAUACCUUUUCUAGCUGCUAGGAACUUGUAGUGUUAGUGCAACACUGUGCUCUGAUAUUUGUGCUAGUUGUUGGUCUGCUAUCAUCUUAUAUGCGUGGUCCCUGCAGCUAAUGCACCCGUUUGCCAUUGGUCAUAGUUUGGCUAGCAUGUUGCAGAGAUCUGGUUGCACCUGCUUUGCAUUUCAACUUCAGCUUAUUGGACAUGAUAGUUAUUGAAGAUGCCAAAUUUUGUUUAAAAAAAAAGAAUCUCAUGUUCUGUGGAUGAUCUGCAGAUUCUGCCUAUUCCUACAUGGCUGAGCAAGUUUCCUUAGCUUACUAAACUGGCGUGCUAACAAGUGACACGUGUCAAUUGAUGGGACUGACUGAAUCACGGAAUGACCCAAAGCAGUAACUCUCCAUCUGUAUACCCCUCACCCCAAUAUGUACAGAAGGAAUCUCAACUAGGAACCUAGAAUUUGCACAGGAAAAAAAAACAGGUGUGCUAGCCAUUUGGCAAUCAGUGCCAGUUUAUCUGUUGCUCCACAGUUACAUAUCCCACCCAUGGUUGAGGUGGAGCUGCAAAGUCCGUUGGAAUUAUCUUGUAGCAGUUUCUCGGCAAGAUGAGUCGCUUCAUUCACUGUACGUCGGUGCCGGCUACUCUGAAACUUACAUACUAUAAGAAUCUGGUCCCUUACUAACUGCAUGUCGUCCGAACCACUGCAUGAACUUGUUUGCACUGCUGCUGGGAUUACGAAUGUUGUAACAAAGCACGGGUUUUGCUGCUUGAUGGCGGAAGCAAAAUGUAGUACAGAUUAGGUGAUAUGCAGUCAAGUGUUUACCUGUCUGGGUGAUGGCAUUCGUCAGGAAAUUUCUGCCCUGGGCUGUUACCUUGCAUCGGGGGCAGUUACUGGCAUGCCCUCGGCUGCUCACAAGUUUCAGGCCAUGGUCCAGCCCCCCGCUGGGCUGGUCCUUGCGGUUUAUGGCGAUCUGUUGUCGUGUGUCCGAGGUCGCGAUCGCUGCCAGGGUCGU
RNAcentral lists this long non-coding RNA (20536 nucleotides) under Zea mays. Its description in RNAcentral is "long non-coding RNA (ZMAY_LNC000719)". Lineage: Eukaryota; Viridiplantae; Streptophyta; Magnoliopsida; Poales; Poaceae. The record is from RNAcentral.